AGUGAACGCUGGCGGUAGGCCUAACACAUGCAAGUCGAACGGCAGCACAGUAAGAGCUUGCUCUUACGGGUGGCGAGUGGCGGACGGGUGAGGAAUACAUCGGAAUCUACUUUUUCGUGGGGGAUAACGUAGGGAAACUUACGCUAAUACCGCAUACGACCUACGGGUGAAAGCAGGGGAUCUUCGGACCUUGCGCGAUUGAAUGAGCCGAUGUCGGAUUAGCUAGUUGGCGGGGUAAAGGCCCACCAAGGCGACGAUCCGUAGCUGGUCUGAGAGGAUGAUCAGCCACACUGGGACUGAGACACGGUCCAGACUCCUACGGGAGGCAGCAGUGGGGAAUAUUGGACAAUGGGCGCAAGCCUGAUCCAGCCAUACCGCGUGGGUGAAGAAGGCCUUCGGGUUGUGAAGCCCUUUUGUUGGGAAAGAAAAGCAGCAGGCUAAUACCCCGCUGUUCUGACGGUACCCAAAGAAUAAGCACCGGCUAACUUCGUG
This 492-nucleotide ribosomal RNA is filed under the name uncultured bacterium. RNAcentral describes it as "partial 16S ribosomal RNA". It matches the Rfam family "Bacterial small subunit ribosomal RNA", at positions 29 to 507 of the family's 1533-position model. The record is from RNAcentral.